UCCUCUCUUGUGUUUCUACCAUCUCUUGUUGAGAUAAGAGCCCGUCCCCUGUGGCUAAGCAUCUCCAUCGCGGACACUUGCGAGUCCACUCCCGGAAUUUCUUUGGCAGCGUACACUGUACAGCGCCUAGAGCUUUGAUGUUUUAGCAUGGAAUAAAAAUCGAGAGAUAUCUGUUGCCAAUGGAUUGGACGGUGAAAGGGGUGGGCUAGCUACCAUCAUCACCGGCCACCUGUUUCUUCUCUGUUGCUUUACUUGCACGGCUGCAACACCAACUCCUUCAGCUUUCACUUUCGGCCUAUAUGACGCUCUUCUACUCCAAGCAACAGGUCGGUCAAGAUUCGUGCCCGUUAAAAGCAGACAGGAAGGAAGAAGGCUCCGCCUCAUCAAGGUAAGCUCUAAUCCCUUCAACUCUUCGUCCUCUUUUCCCCACUUGGAUUUCUGCCUUCUUCAACUAUUCAUCCUCUUCUCUCCGUUGGGAUUUCUGCGUCUUUAUUCAGUGAGGGGGUGCCUCUGAGUUGGAUGCCAUGGUGCCGUGGAGGCUGGAGGCCCGCCUGGCGGAGACGGUGAGGGCGGCGCUCCUCGGCUGGCUCUUCUUCUGCAUCACCGUCGCCAGCGAUGUCGCACAUGCGCUCAGAAGCAGCGAUCUCUCCAUCUAAGACCGGCCACGUUCGACAUGGCCAAGACCGACUCUGUGCCUACAAAGUGGCAGUUCAUUGGGCGCACAGGAAGAAAAUUUAUUUACAGCAGUGUAACCAGUCAGUGAGUUCAUCCAUGAGAGAAUGAGUUCGAUGUAAAGGUGAAAUAUUCAUAUAGAUUAGAUGUAAAAUCUUGUGUCAAACAGAGAAAUACUGGCUAUUUGCUCAAAGUGGCCUGACUUUCAAACAAAAGGUAGCAUAGAUAGCGCUGGUGCAACUUAGUAACUAACAAUAUGGCUGGUGCAUCGGACGAACUAAGGACAAAAUUCCGAUAAAUAGCUUUCGCGAGGUGGAGCGGUAUGUACGGAUUCUACUGGUCAUCAGGCAGGAGGUUCCGACUUAUCUGCACUCGAGUGCUAUCACCGCCUUGAUGAUUUCUUGAAAGACCUCGGUUUCUGUCGGUGGCCUCUUGGAGCCUCCUCUUCUUCAUCAUCGUCGUCCUCCGCCACCUUCCUUCUCUUCUUGUGACCACCGUCCUCCCUCAGUUUCUGCCGAAUAAUAACAAAAUGGUGAUUUUAGUAUCACUGCAGCAGUCAUAGCACUUAUGGAGACAAUUAUGGGCACUUCAAAAUUGAUUGCUCCGCCAAGUACAUACCGUCAGUGCAAUCCUCUUUGAAUCUGAUAUAUGCUCACGAAGUAUCAGGAUUUCAUCCAUAUCUACCUUCCGGUCAGGAAUUUCCCUUCCUGCGAAAAUAGGGGACGGCUUCAGAAAGAAAUCUCCAGUUAUGUGUUGCCACGAGACAAGCAACGAGGAAAACUAUUACCAAGGAGCUGCUCAAUCAGCUUAAACCACUCAGCCUCAUACUGAUUCACAAAAGAGACGGCAUAUCCCGAUUGCCCUGCACGCGCAGUCCUACCAACCCGAUGGACAUAAUCCUGCAUUUGGUGCAGCAUAAUUUCUAAGAUCAGUGACAAAAUAUAAAUGCACGAUCUUCUCAAUAAUAAAAGCAAUAUACGAUGAUCGGCAACAGGUACUGAAGUAAACAAGGUAGAAAACCUUAGAAUUCAUUGGAAUAUCAUAAUUCAUAACCACAUCAACUCCUUGAAUGUCAAGACCACGACUCGCCACGUCGGUGCAGAUAAGGAUGUUGAAAUCUUUUGCUUUGAACUUGUUUAAAGCACCUAGUCUUUUGUCCUGAUAAAGAGAAGAUUUAAGAUAAUUAUUUGCCUUGGGAAGUAUUAUUUAUGUUAAGAAAACUAACAUGUCCAUAAUGGAGCUCACUUAUACGGCCUCAAAAGGCUGCAUAACUGAGGCCCUGUUUGGUUCGGCUGUGGAUUUCUAAAAGCAGCUGUGAAAAAUCUGCUGUGGAAAAACAGCUGUGGAAAAUCUGAUGUGAAAAAGAUGUAGGCCAUUUGGCAAACCAGCUGAUACAGCUUUUUCAGAUUUUGGCCCGCAGCGGAAUCAGAUUUUGGAAAGCACGUCCUGGGCUGCUUCCGCUUUUGGUUCAGAUUUUGGCAGCGGAUUUCUGGAAUCGGAUUCUGCUGGGUUCGCCCUUUGGUUCAGAUUCUGCUGCGCAGCAGCGGAAUCCGUCGAUAAAAGCUGAACCAAACAGGGCCUUUAUGGGGAAAUCAAAUACUUUUGUCUGUCUGAUAGAAAAGUUACAGAAGUAAACCUGACUCAUCUGGCCACUGAUAGAGAGAGCUUUAAAACCAAGAUUCCUUAAAGUGAGAGCAAGGAGUCUUGUUGACUCGCAGGUCCGCACGAAGAUCAUGAUCAUGCUCCCUGGCAACUCAUUCAGAACAUGAACAAGAUAACAAUCCUGAAAUAGAAAAUGGCGAAAGAACAACAAAAGGGAAAUCAGUACGCGAGCCACUGUUAGUAAAUAGAGAAAUAUAAUCUCAAAGCAGAACAUGCAUGUGAUUAAAACUAAUCUCCUGAAGUCCAAGGGUAUAGGCAUGGGCAUUCUUUAUCAGGAUUGUUUAUUAAAUGUAGAGUAGAAUCUUAGUCAAAUGGUUUCAUCAACACAGGCUUCAAUCAGUACUGCUAAUAUCAAAUGUAUAGAAGUCCAAAUUCUCUGUUCAAAAAAAGUCCAACAAACAACAAGAUAAUGCAGGCCUACAUUUUAUCACACAAGUUACAUGGGCACAGAACUACAGGUCCUGAUAUUGAGGUACAGAAACGGAUUUCGUCACUUCUUAAAAUUACAUUAUUAUAUUAAGAAGUACAAGAAUUAACCUUGUAAUCUGCAGGAACGAAAUACCACUCUUGUUUAAGUGUGUCCACUGUAGAAUAUUUGGAGGAUACUUCCACCUGGUCCCAAAAAAAGUUCCUCUUAUAUUAGUAAGAGAAAGAAGGCGGCCCAAAAGGUCCUCUUCUAUUGACGCUUUGCUGCUUAUCGAAUGCCUAAAAUAGAAGAAUGGCUUUACCUUAACAGGGUUUCUGAGACAAGCACGUUGCAGUUUGCUUACCUGCAAAGAAAACUCAUAAGCUGUUCUGCAUUCAGGCUAACAAAAAUGUAUGUGUAGCAAAGCUGUGAAGCACCAAUUAGAAAAUUAAGGCUAUUCAUGACUAGAAGCAUGAUUGUUGCAGCUUGGAAGAGCAUAUUGAAGCAGUACUCCUAGAAAUACAAAAUGAUGCACAGUUCACCAGAAUCAAUGCAAUUAUAUGACAAACUGUCAAUCUGUGCACUAUUUCUCAAGACUUUAUAGUGCAAUCACCAAACAAAGUGGUAAACAAGGCCACAUCAAUCUGACAAACACAACAAUGGCAACUGUUGAUGUUUUAGUCCUUUUGGCUCACACAAAACUGCCUGAACCACCAACCUUUUUGGUCAUUGUGGCUGAAAAAAGGUAAGUUCUCCUUUCUUUAGGAAUGACCUUCAGAAUAUCAUCAAGUGAUUCCUUGAACUCCAAAUUAAGUAAUUUAUCAGCUUCAUCAAGUACCUAGAAACCAAGAAGAUUGAGGACAUGUCAAAACAAAAGCAUCUCAGUUUAAACAAGCUGGUAUCCUCCGUCCAAAUUGUGGAGGUAUGAGCUAGUUAUGUAAAGAAAUAGUUGACAAUGAAGGCUCCGAACAGUAUAAUCAACACAUAUUUAUGAUAAGUAACUAUAGCACAUUUGCAACAAUUUACAACUAAGAAACUAUUACAACAACCAGUCAAGCAAUGGAAAACAACUACUGAUUCAUUUAAGUAUUUCUAGUUCACAACACACAAGCUAGGGUGGUUCAGCUUGACAAAACAAUCUUUAAGUAAUUAAAAUGAAAAGAUAUCUUAUUAUAUUAGUUAGCUUAACACUUCAGGGGAACACUGCCUGGAAAAUGUAAGUUUCCACUUUAACAGGUGAGGUAGGAUUUGUGAGAAGCCACUUCUCUAUAUUGCACAUUACUCCUUUCUUUAAUGCAGGUUCUAUCUGUAACAACCAAACAUUUUCCUGACAUCCAACAAUCAGAAUGGUCUAGGCAUAAAUGAAAAAGCAGGAUGAUGUACAAAUUAAAAGAUGAGUACUUGCAAAGAAUGUGUACCAGGUAUUUCACUUUAGUUAGGCUAAAACCUUUUGUAUCUUUCAAAUGGUCCAAAAGACGGCCAGGAGUUCCAACCUGCAUUUUAGAGGAGAUGAUACAUAAAACAAGCUAAGUCCUGAUAAAGACAGUUUUCAAAUACCAUGGAAGAGAACAAAAGUGUUCUUUCUCUGCUUCAACUGGUGUAUGCAAUGGAAGGUCUUGGUCUUAUCUUGUAUACCUAAGUCCCAUGUCUUCUAGACUCUAGAAGCACUUAUAUAUGCUAAAUUCAGUGAAAUGGAGAGUCUUGGGUCUUACUACCUCUGUAUCAAAAUACAAGACGUUUUUAAAGUUCAAAAACGUCUUAUAUUUUGAUACGGAGGAGUACAAGGAUGCGCUUGUCACCACAGUGGCUUUCCAAAUUAAAAGCACUUAUAUUACUCCCUCUCUCAAAAUAUAGUGCAUAUAGAUAUUUGUUAAUACUUUUUCCUGAAAACUUGAUAAAACUUUGACUUGGGACAAAACCUAUAAUUCUAAAUGCACUUUGUUUCGAAUGGAGUAUAUUAACUUCAGGUAUAUUAUGAUCAGUAAAUCCCUCAAGAGCCUUCACAAACAGAAUUACUAGAAAUGGAAGUUAAGGGGGCAUUAAAAGGCUCGAUAAGUUGGCUAAUUGGAGAACCGGAGAAGACACAGGUUGGCCAAAACGGCAUUUCUUAAGUCCAAAAAGAAUUAGUAUAUGCUAAUACUGAUGCUAGAACUUUUCCACUUUGGGAUUUAAACGGGCAUUGUUGAUGGUUGAGUGUUGAUUUUAAUCACAUGCCUCACUUACAAUUUCAAAGCACAAAGGAUCCAUAACCUAUAUUGUCUUAGGUUAGGAUUGGGUAGAGGAUACUCACCACAAUAUGUGGACGUUUUGCAAUGGAUAACACUUGCUGCAUCCGGUCAACUCCUCCAACAAGCUGGAAAAGGGAAAAUAUCUCAACUGAAAAUGAUUCACGUAACUCAAUAGUCUCAUAACUGGUGAUGAAUACUUGAUUUGAGUAGGUAAUAGCAUGGUCACCAAGAGACAUUUUAAUGCAAUAGAAGAUAGAAAAUUUCAUCGAAUUAUACUGAGCAGAAGUAAUCAGAGGAGAAAGGUCAUCAACAAAAAUUGAAAUUGUCGAUAUGGGCUCGUAUAACAACAAACUUAUUCAAUUUAGUUAUGGUCUUUAAACAUUUAGAUAUAACCAUGCUAUGCUAUGCUUUGGCUUCACCACAUUGAAAUAGGCUACAUGCACUAAAAAUUCUAACAGCGCCCCGACAUUACUCCUCUUUGCGUUAUGCCCGCAAGCCAACCAAAGGGAGUAGCUAGCAAUUCACAACCAGCAAUUACAACAACUUGUUAAUCGAAACUAUGGCCCGCGCAAGAACACAAGCAUAUUAAAGUAUGCACAUCCAAUUGGUUGUCGAAAAUAAUUCAUAUCAGAGCUAAAUAAACAGUCAAUUGUAUCAACACCACUUACCACUGAGCAAACCAAGCCGAUAGCUGACCCUAACGCCUCAAACUGCUCCGCAAUCUGAAUCGCCAGCUCCCUGAACCACCACAGCAGUACGGUAAGCUUCCACACAAGCUACCGAUAAGAAAAUACGUCCCAGGAAGGAGAGGGGGGAAAUGGUUACCUCGUGGGCGACAUGAUGCAGGCGAAGAAGGGCUGGCGGUGCUCGAGCAGCGCCUGGAUGAUGGGCAGCGCGAACGCGCCCGUCUUCCCCGACCCCGUCUGCCCCAGCCCAAUCACGUCCCUCCCUGCACGCAGGACCGAGCUCAGAAUCAACGACCUGGACCAUCACAACUGCACACAUAAUGGCCGGCGGCGGCGCUGGUAGUACCUUGGAGGGCGUGGGGGAUGGCCCCCGCCUGGAUCUUGGUGGGCUGCUUCCACCCCAUGGCGUCGCAGGCCUCCACCAGCUCGCGGCAGACGCCCAGCUCGGCGAACGUUGAGGCCUCGGCGGCCGGCUCCGGCUCCGGCUCCGGCUGCUGGGCCUCGCCGCCCCCGGCGACCGCCUUGUCCGCCACCGCCAUGGCUGCGAGAGGAGGGAGUGGAGUCUUCUGUGCGCGCGUGGGCGAAUACGACGGCGGCGGCGGCGGCGGCGGCGGCGUGGGUUUGCUCUGCUUGGCGUGGCGCGCGGAGGCUGCUGGUUGUAUGACGGGAGACAGAACUUGGCGCACACGGCCGCGGGGUCGGCGCGGCGGCAUAAACCCUAGCGGAUGAAGCGGAGGGGAAAAUCUCGUGGGCCGGCAUGCUCGGCGAGCCACUUGGAGCGGCCUCGGUCCGGGAAGAGCCCAUUUCAAAUACUCCGUUUUUAUUUACUUCGCAUAUUAGCUUUGUAUCAAGUUUGGCUCAAAUACCACAUGGUAUGUGUGGUAAGCAAUUUCAUAUUUGAAAUGAUGCUGUUGAGUUAUGAGGCUUUAUUUAAGUGGUGAUCUAGAUAAUAGAGAAUGGAAGUAGAUGAAAAAUACAAAAUCAAAAAAAAAGUUUGGCUCAAAAAAAACUUUGAUCAAGUUUAUAAAGAAUAUAUUAUCCACAAUACCAAAUCAAUAAUUUUAAAAUCAUCAUUGAAUAUAUUUUUAUAUCAUAUAUAUUUGUUAUUAGUCGCGUAGCCAGCCCAACAUCACGUCCCAGACCAACCUCAAUGGUACAAUAUGGAACAGUACAAAUUUUAACAAUGUAUCUGAUGCAAACGAUGAGCAAACUUGCUGCCAUGCCCGGAGCCGCCCCUGUUGCCCGGGGCUUGGCUACGCCAGUGUUCGUCACUGUGAAAGUUUAGAUUGUUUUCCAUAAAUUUUGAUCAAAUUUUAUAAAGUUUGACUUAGAUCAAAACUAAUAUGGGAAGUAAAUAAAAACGGAGGGAGUAUUACACUUAGGUGCUCCUAUUCUUCGAGAGCAACUAAUUGGAGGGUACCUUCUUGGGGAACCUAGGGGUCAUUUUUGGUGGACUGGGAGCGCGCAGGCUCGCACUCCCUCGGGAUUUCGGUGUUUUUCUCAUUCAUGUGUUUUUGGAUUUAUUUAUUUAUUUAUUUGCUUUUCCGCUUUUUUUUUGUUUUCCUUAGGUUUUUUAUAGAAGCAGUGCUUUUCGCAAGAAGUACAACAUGUGUUUUGCGACAAGCACAAUUGUGAUUCCACGAGAAGUAUAACAUGUGCUUCCCGAAAAGGAAAAUGCAUAGACGUGUUUCACAAAAAGGGAAAAACACAGUCAGUACUUUCAUGAGAAGCACAAUUAUGCUUCAUGAAAAGGGAAGAACACAGUUGUGCUUUCUAAAAAAGUGAAAGGCAUAGUACGUGCUUCCCGAAAAGGAAAAAGCACAAUUGUGCUUCUAGGUUCCGGUUUUUUUUUGGGUUUUCAUUUUUCUGUUUUUCCCAGAUUUUAGUAUUUUUUUUUGUUUGUUGGAUUUUUGUGUUUUUUCAUUUUCAGGUUUUUGGGGAAAGAAAAAGUUCUUAGAAACUUAUUAACAUAGGAUCUAGUUGCGAAGAUCUCGACGCGAGGGAUCCAACAGUGAAAAAGGUUCAUGAUUUGAAGCAUGGUUCAAGAGAUAAAACGUUAUGAAAAAACGAAUCUAAAGAAACUUUCAGACAGUGACAAAUGACGCGCAUGCAGUGUGCCACUUGUUAUCACCAUGCAAGAUGGGAGUGACCUCUCCAAGGAGUGCCCUCUAACCGAUGAUCUCGCUAUUCUUCUUCCCCAAUGGACGGUAGGCCUGCCACCCAUGUAGCACUAUGUGCGCUCGAGAGGAACGGUUUUUAGCGUUUUUCAUUUCAGCCAUUUUUUUAUUUUGGUUGUUCAAAAAAAUCAUUAAUUAGUAUAUGUUUGUUAGUUUUAAAUAUUAUUUAGAAAUUUAAAAAUGUAUUUAAAAAAAGAAAAAAUAUUCAAGGAUUUUAAAAUUUUCAUGAGUAUAAAAUGAUGUUUCAUGAAUUUUAAGAUGAAAACAAAAAAGAGAAAAAAAAAA
This 8116-nucleotide long non-coding RNA is filed under the name Triticum aestivum (bread wheat). RNAcentral's name for it is "long non-coding RNA (TAES_LNC023711)". The record is from RNAcentral. Lineage: Eukaryota; Viridiplantae; Streptophyta; Magnoliopsida; Poales; Poaceae.